This 253-nucleotide ribosomal RNA is filed under the name uncultured bacterium. RNAcentral describes it as "partial 16S ribosomal RNA". It matches the Rfam family "Bacterial small subunit ribosomal RNA", at positions 524 to 776 of the family's 1533-position model. The record is from RNAcentral.
UACGAAGGGUGCAAGCGUUACUCGGAAUUACUGGGCGUAAAGCGUGCGUAGGCGGUUUUUUAAGUCCGUUGUGAAAGCCCUGGGCUCAACCUGGGAAUGGCAGUGGAUACUGGAAAGCUAGAGUGCGGUAGAGGGUAGUGGAAUUCCAGGUGUAGCAGUGAAAUGCGUAGAGAUCGGGAGGAACACCAGUGGCGAAGGCGGCUACCUGGACCAGCACUGACACUGAGGCACGAAAGCGUGGGGAGCAAACAGG